GACGAACGCUGGCGGCGUGCCUCAAACAUGCAAGUCGAGCGAGGGUUGGCCGGUCCGCAAGGAUCGGUUCAACUCUAGCGGCGAACGGGUGAGUAACACGUGGGCAAUCUGCCCCACAGACGGGGACAACCUCGGGAAACCGGGGCUAAUACCCGGUACCCUCGCCGGGUGGCAUCACCUGGUGAGGAAACGUCGCAAGACGCUGUGGGAUGAGCCCGUGGCCUAUCAGCUAGUUGGUGGGGUAACGGCCUACCAAGGCGACGACGGGUAGCUGGCCUGAGAGGGUGGUCAGCCACACUGGGACUGAGACACGGCCCAGACUCCUACGGGAGGCAGCAGUUGGGAAUUUUGGGCAAUGGGCGCAAGCCUGACCCAGCGACGCCGCGUGGGGGAUGAAGGCCUUCGGGUCGUAAACCCCUGUCAGGAGGGACGAAGCCGCAAGGUGACGGUACCUCCAGAGGAAG
RNAcentral lists this ribosomal RNA (464 nucleotides) under uncultured bacterium. Its description in RNAcentral is "bacterial SSU rRNA". It matches the Rfam family "Bacterial small subunit ribosomal RNA", at positions 28 to 490 of the family's 1533-position model. The record is from RNAcentral.